This is a non-coding RNA of Pelobates cultripes (western spadefoot toad), 291 nucleotides long. NCBI's taxonomy places the organism in Eukaryota, Metazoa, Chordata, Amphibia, Anura, Pelobatidae. The record is from the annotation of a GenBank genome assembly.
AAAUAUUGGGACAUAGAAAAAAGACAACUCUGUUCUGCAGAGUAGCUGUUGACAUUAUAGUUGUGCAGGCACUUUGUUGACUCUAGAGAACCUCGGGCCAAUCGCACAACCCCAUGACGGCAACUUUGCACUUGGAUGUCAUCCAUAUCAACAUUCAAUGCCAGCUUCUGCACCACGGGUAACGGGGAAUCAGGGUUCCAUUCCGUACAGGGACCCUGAGAAAUGGCUACCACAUGCAAGGAAGGCAGCAGGCACGCAAAUGACCCAUUCCUGACGCGGGAAGGUAGUGAU